UCUCUUUUUCUGACUGACCCGUCCAACAGGAAUGCCCUGGGUUCCUGGAGAUGUUCAAGCAGCACAGAGCCCAGGAGCUGAAGUGAGGAAGGGGCUGUGCCUGUGGUGUGGGAGUCACAGAUCAAUAGGGCACAAUUUACAGCUCCAUUGUGACCUUCCCCUAAAACCCGGGUCCCAUCACCACUGUUGGAGUUUAAAAGCCAUCUGGGAACUUCAGCAGGGACUAACAAGGCCCACAACCACUCUGGGCUGCUGCAAUCCCACCCUGGAGCCCUGCCAGCACCUGCACUUCGUCUGGGUGAGCAAACGGAAAUCAAACGCCUGUUGAAGGGAAUAAUUCACUGGGCUGAUUCUCAGAACAUACAGCUUUAAUGUUUUAAGAAAAAUUUAAUAUAAAAACAGACACAAACCUGGCCUGUUGGCUCCCACCAAGAGAAGAAUCUCUUGUUCUCAUUCUCAGCUGCAAACCUGAAGAAGGAAGCCUGGAAGAUGUUCCUGAAAUGGCCAAGCACGUUCAAAUGAGGCAAGAGCGCCCAACAGAGCGAAGAGGUGCCCAUAAAGAACCUUCCUGAACAUUACACAAAACCUGAGCCUCUUUAAGUAUUUUCUUUUCAUCCAACAGAUACACUAAUAAGGCCUUUAACGAGCCACUAAUGAAGCAGGAGAUGUUUUAGGCAACAAAAAUACGAACUUCAAGUGGGCAAAACUGUGCAAGGAACUGAAAGCGAAGCGGCCGGAGCGAGCAGCCCAGAGAUUCGGCUGGAUGAUCACGUAUCUUGCUACAGGUAUCACCAGCCUCUCUUUAGGCACCUUGUGGAAAGCCAGCUCACUGACACCAGCUGGAUCAGCCCAGGAAUUUGUUUGAUGUGCCUAAGAAGUUGGUAACAAUAGCUCCUGAGGUGGCAGCAGCGUUGCGAGGUGACAGCGUUCCCUUGGAGACAGCGAAUCCAUCGAUCGGGAUCCCGGCAGGUUCCCCCUCUCCAGAGGCCCUGGAACUCCCUCCCUGGGCAGGGCCAGAGAUGGGAAGAUAAGCCCUGCCUGUAGACAAAUAGCCCCGUGCAAGAUGUGAGGAUUUGAUGCAGCAGCCAGACAUGUCUGAAAGUUCCUCAGGUCUGACUACAAGCAAUCAGAAGUUCUUGAACUCCUACUCCUCCUGCUGCUCCAUCCUGAGGGAUGCCCACCAGAUUCUGCCAGUUUUACCCCAAAACAGAGGAACCCUGGGGCAGAACUGGGACCCCAGGCUCCCUUUCCCACUUCCUUCUGACUCCUUCAAGUACCUUGGCUGGUGUGACAUAGAGGAGCACGGUGUGAGAGGGAAUCAGCUCCUCUGCCCCCGAGUGAGGGAAGGGCCCUCAGAAGAAGAGCUGUUUUUCAGAAAAGAAGAAUAUACUCUGAAAAGAAGAAAACAAGUAACUGACACAGAGAAAUGGGAAAAGAGGCUGCAAGAGAACUGGGAAAACUGUGCUGUAAAACUUUCUCAUUAACACUUUGGACUGUAGCUGUAAAGAAGCCAAAUAAUCAUGUGCUGGCAGCUCACUGCAUUUAAUAGAUUUAAACCUGUGAUAAGGAAGGUGUCCCUGGCUAUGGCAGGGGGUGGAAUUGGAUGAAUUUUGAAUUCCCUGCCAACCCAGCCCAUUCUGUGAGGAUUCCAUGAAUAUUUAAACCUGGCUGCUGCACAGAACUUUGGUGCCAGCUGAGUUUAGAGGCCAAACCAAAAAGCCACAACCACCCAGUCUUGCUCCCUCCCCACACCUGGUAACCCCAGUCACAGAGGAAGGAGGAGAUGGACACCAAAUUCUUCCUUGAGAGAUGGUUUCUUUCUUCCUUUCAAAGAAUUAGGGAGUCCAUCACUCUGAUUCUGAGGUGGAUUUGGCACUUGGUAUCAACAAUUGUUACAAGAGCAGCAGCAUAAAAUGUGUUCUCCUUUUAACUGCCUCUGACUGAUUCAAUAUUUAAUGAUAUAGCUAUUACAAAGCAAAAAAAAAAAAAAAAAAAAGUGAUUUCUCUUAUUUUUUUCCCUUCCCAGGAGCUGAACCUUUCCUUCCAGGACCUGGGUGAUCUUUACCAGGUGGAAAACCUCAAAAGAAUCCUGCACAGGUUGAUUCGGGUGGAAAAGCUUUGGUUGGUGGACAAUUCUCUGACAGACCUCAGUGCCAUAAGGUUGCCAAGGUAGACAAAAUGUCCUGCUUCUAUUUUUAUGUAAUCUGUUCCUAUUUUUGUGAAACAGCCCAGAAAUCAAAAUUUUCCUGAAGUGACAGCUGGAGCAGGCUCUUGAGAGCUGCCAGAUCUGCUCCUGGGGGCUGCUGCAGUGAGAACCCAUCAGCUCAUUGCUGAAAAUACCCAGUGAGGAGAUCACAUCCCAUCCCCUUCAUUCCUGGGGAAUAGUUAAUGAGUCCAGCCACCCUCAGGGAGACCUGUGCCAAAAGGGGAAGGUGUUGCACACAGAAGGAAUCUCUGUGAAGAGAUGGGGGAGCACAACCCAAGCAGAGAGGCCAAGCACGAC
Molecule: long non-coding RNA, 2503 nt
Organism: Haemorhous mexicanus (house finch)
Lineage: Eukaryota; Metazoa; Chordata; Aves; Passeriformes; Fringillidae
Exons: 5
Source: RefSeq, a predicted model, not a curated record